RNAcentral lists this ribosomal RNA (460 nucleotides) under uncultured bacterium. RNAcentral's name for it is "partial 16S ribosomal RNA". It matches the Rfam family "Bacterial small subunit ribosomal RNA", at positions 338 to 795 of the family's 1533-position model. The record is from RNAcentral.
CCUACGGGCGGCAGCAGUGAGGAAUAUUGGUCAAUGGGCUUACGCCUGAACCAGCCAAGUCGCGUGAGGGAAGACUGCCCUAUGGGUUGUAAACCUCUUUUGUCAGGGAGCAACGCCGGCUACGUGUAGCCGGACUGAGAGUACCUGAAGAAAAAGCAUCGGCUAACUCCGUGCCAGCAGCCGCGGUAAUACGGAGGAUGCGGGCGUUAUCCGGAUUGAUUGGGUUUAAAGGGUGCGUAGGCGGAAUGCCAAGUCAGCGGUAAAAUCGCGGGGCUCAACCUCGCUCCGCCGUUGAAACUGGCGUUCUUGAGUGGGGGAGAAGUAUGCGGAAUGCGGGGUGUAGCGGUGAAAUGCAUAGAUAUCACGAAGAACUCCGAUUGCGAAGGCAGCAUACCGGCGCCCAACUGACGCUGAAGCACGAAAGCGUGGGUAUCGAACAGGAUUAGAUACCCGUGUAGUC